Molecule: ribosomal RNA, 243 nt
Filed under: Paenibacillus agri
Lineage: Bacteria; Bacillati; Bacillota; Bacilli; Caryophanales; Paenibacillaceae
Description: Bacterial small subunit ribosomal RNA
Rfam family: Bacterial small subunit ribosomal RNA
Source: Rfam by way of RNAcentral
CAUUAGGUGCCCUUCGGGGAAAGUUGAGACAGGUGGUGCAUGGUUGUCGUCAGCUCGUGUCGUGAGAUGUUGGGUUAAGUCCCGCAACGAGCGCAACCCUUGACUUUAGUUGCCAGCAGGUUAAGCUGGGCACUCUAGAGUGACUGCCGGUGACAAACCGGAGGAAGGUGGGGAUGACGUCAAAUCAUCAUGCCCCUUAUGACCUGGGCUACACACGUACUACAAUGGCCGGUACAACGGGAA